This 1489-nucleotide ribosomal RNA is filed under the name metagenome. Its description in RNAcentral is "bacterial LSU rRNA". It matches the Rfam family "Bacterial large subunit ribosomal RNA", at positions 1460 to 2925 of the family's 2925-position model. The record is from RNAcentral.
UGCGAUGAGAGGACGGAGAAGGUUAGGUCAGCCUGGCGUUGGUUGUCCAGGUGGAAGGUUGUAGGCAUGUAUCUUAGGCAAAUCCGGGGUACUCUAUGCUGAGAACUGAUAGCAAGCUGUACUUGUACAGUGAAGUGGCUGAUACCAUGCUUCCAGGAAAAGUCUCUAAGCUUCAGUUACAUAGGAAUCGUACCCGAAACCGACACAGGUGGUCAGGUCGAGUAGACCAAAGCGCUUGAGAGAACUCUGCUGAAGGAACUAGGCAAAAUGGUACCGUAACUUCGGGAGAAGGUACGCUGCCGACGGUGAUAGGAUUUACUUCUUGAGCUAUUGGCAGCCACAGAAACCAGGCCCCUGCAACUGUUUAUUAAAAACAUAGCACUCUGCUAACACGAAAGUGGACGUAUAGGGUGUGAUGCCUGCCCGGUGCUGGAAGGUUAAUUGAUGGGGUUAGCGUAAGCGAAGCUCUUGAUCGAAGCCCCAGUAAACGGCGGCCGUAACAAUAACGGUCCUAAGGUAGCGAAAUUCCUUGUCGGGUAAGUUCCGACCUGCACGAAUGGCAUAAUGAUGGGGGCGCUGUCUCCAGCAGAGACUCAGUGAAAUCGAAUUCGCCGUGAAGAUGCGGUGUACCCGCGGCUAGACGGAAAGACCCCGUGAACCUUUACUGCAGCUUGACAUUGAACUUUGAUCUUACUUGUGUAGGAUAGGUGGGAGGCUUUGAAACCGAGACGCUAGUUUCGGUGGAGCCAAUCUUGAAAUACCACCCUGGUAAUAUUGAGGUUCUAACUCUGUCCCGUUAUCCGGGACGAGGACCAUGUCUGGUGGGUAGUUUGACUGGGGCGGUCUCCUCCUAAAGAGUAACGGAGGAGUACGAAGGUGCGCUCAGCGUGGUCGGAAAUCACGCGUAGAGUAUAAAGGCAAAAGCGCGCUUAACUGCGAGACCCACAAGUCGAGCAGGUACGAAGGUAGGUCUUAGUGAUCCGGUGGUUCUGUAUGGAAGGGCCAUCGCUCAACGGAUAAAAGGUACUCUGGGGAUAACAGGCUGAUACCGCCCAAGAGUUCAUAUCGACGGCGGUGUUUGGCACCUCGAUGUCGGCUCAUCUCAUCCUGGGGCUGAAGCAGGUCCCAAGGGUAUGGCUGUUCGCCAUUUAAAGAGGUACGCGAGCUGGGUUUAGAACGUCGUGAGACAGUUCGGUCCCUAUCUACCGUGGGCCUUGGAAAUUUGAGAGGAUCUGCUCCUAGUACGAGAGGACCAGAGUGGACGAACUUCUGGUGUACCGGUUGUGACGCCAGUCGCAUCGCCGGGUAGCUAUGUUCGGAAGGGAUAACCGCUGAAAGCAUCUAAGCGGGAAGCCUACCUCAAGAUAAGAUUUCCCUAGGACUUUAUGUCCUCUAAAGAGCCGUUGAAGACUACGACGUUGAUAGGUUGGAUGUGGAAGCAUAGUGAUAUGUGAAGCUGACCAAUACUAAUUGCUCGUGAGGCUUGACC